This 380-nucleotide ribosomal RNA is filed under the name uncultured bacterium. Its description in RNAcentral is "bacterial SSU rRNA". It matches the Rfam family "Bacterial small subunit ribosomal RNA", at positions 28 to 409 of the family's 1533-position model. The record is from RNAcentral.
GACGAACGCUGGCGGCGUGCUUAGCACAUGCAAGUCGAGCGGUAAGGCCCUUUCGGGGGUACACGAGCGGCGAACGGGUGAGUAACACGUGGGUGACCUGCCCUCAGCUCUGGGAUAAGCCUGGGAAACUGGGUCUAAUACCGGAUAUGACUCCAUGACGCAUGUUGUGGGGUGGAAAGCCUUGUGCGGCUGAGGAUGGGCCCGCGGCCUAUCAGCUUGUUGGUGGGGUGAUGGCCUACCAAGGCGACGACGGGUAGCCGGCCUGAGAGGGCGACCGGCCACACUGGGACUGAGACACGGCCCAGACUCCUACGGGAGGCAGCAGUGGGGAAUCUUGCGCAAUGGGCGAAAGCCUGACGCAGCGACGCCGCGUGAGGGAU